This 253-nucleotide ribosomal RNA is filed under the name uncultured bacterium. RNAcentral's name for it is "partial 16S ribosomal RNA". It matches the Rfam family "Bacterial small subunit ribosomal RNA", at positions 524 to 776 of the family's 1533-position model. The record is from RNAcentral.
UACGGGGGGGGCAAGCGUUGUUCGGAAUUACUGGGCGUAAAGGGCUCGUAGGCGGCCAACUAAGUCAGACGUGAAAUCCCCAGGCUUAACCUGGGAACUGCGUCUGAUACUGGAUGGCUUGAAUUCGGGAGAGGGAUGCAGAAUUCCAGGUGUAGCGGUGAAAUGCGUAGAUAUCUGGAGGGAUACCGGUGGCGAAGGCGGCAUCCUGGACCGAGAUUGACGCUGAUGAGCGAAAGCUAGGGGAGCAAACGGG